AACGCAACUUGCGCCUCCUAGAGGCAUGUCUGUUUGAGUAUCAUAUCAACCUGCAGUAAUAUGCGACUUGACUGACCCCAAAGGGUUGGUUUAAAACUUUGUCAAUGGGAGAGGGGGGACGAGGCGGUAAAAGCCUAAAGCUAGAGACGCAAGUCUUGUUUAGGCUUUCGCUCGCCUUACCAAACCAAGUCUUUUGGUCUCAAAUCAGGCAAGGUUACCCGCUGAACUUAA
RNAcentral lists this unclassified non-coding RNA (231 nucleotides) under uncultured fungus. RNAcentral describes it as "partial contains 5.8S ribosomal RNA, internal transcribed spacer 2, and large subunit ribosomal RNA". The record is from RNAcentral. Lineage: Eukaryota; Fungi.